Magnolia sinica is the source of this 748-nucleotide long non-coding RNA. RefSeq lists it as uncharacterized. NCBI's taxonomy places the organism in Eukaryota, Viridiplantae, Streptophyta, Magnoliopsida, Magnoliales, Magnoliaceae. The record is from RefSeq and is a predicted model, not a curated record. The transcript has 2 exons.
CAUGUUAAUGUCCAUUUUACAGAUUUGGGGUGCCAUUUUAUAAUUUUUUUAUAUUUUUUUCUAUUUAUGCAUGAGUUUUGGCUAUUUUUUUUUUUAAAUUCGAAAAAUCAAUUUUUAAUGGUUGUAUUGCUGUUUUAAUCAUGUCAUAUGAUGUGUUAAUCAUAGUAGAACAUUAGAACAUGUUAAUGUGCAUUUUACAGAUUUGUGGUGUCAUUUUAUCAUUUUUUUCUAUUUUCGAAUUAGUGACUUUAUGUUUUUAUUUGCUUAUAUUGGACAGGUUUUGCCUUGGAGCUUCUUAGGGUUUAGUUAGAAUAUAAAAUCAUCUUUAUUAACAUAGGUCAUACACUCAUACUCAUAUCUAAUUAUCUAAUAUCUACCUAAACCUAAAGAAAUGUCUGGGUUUAGCCAAUAACAAGUAAGUGAGGAUAUUGGAUGACAAUAUUGUGAGAGGGUUAGUGGUACUAGGCAACACAUGAAGUGCAAGUAUUGUGAUAGACUAGUGACUGGUGGAAUUACUCGUCUCAAACAACAUUUCGCACAUCGAAAGGGUCAAGUUACGCCAUAUAGUAGAGUACCGAAAGAGAUAAUGCUUUUAAUGCAAGCUAGUCUGGAUGAGUUGAAGGGUAAACGUGCUGCUGUACAAAAGAAGAAAGAUGAUAUUUUGGAUGCAGCUCGACAGGAGGUGUUUGGUCCUGAAUAUAUGGGCGUUCGUGAUGAAGAUAUUAUUGAUUCUGACGAAGAUUCAGAU